Molecule: RNA transcript, 976 nt
Organism: Drosophila sechellia
Lineage: Eukaryota; Metazoa; Arthropoda; Insecta; Diptera; Drosophilidae
Gene name: mitochondrial import inner membrane translocase subunit TIM14
Exons: 3
Source: RefSeq, a predicted model, not a curated record
UUUUAGUCAAAAACAAAUAAAAAAUAUUGCGAAUCUCUUCUGUUUCAUAAUAUCAAAUUGUCCGUGCGAUGACGACCAAUACGAAUUAUUCCAUUCCGAAGGCGAGCUCCGUAAUUCUGGCGGGUCUUGGCGUGGCCGCCGUGGGAUUCGCCGGAAAGCACCUGAUGCGCCGCAUGCCCCAGAUGACCACCAAAUUCAACGAGGCCCUCAAGAACCUGCCCAAAUUCGAUGCGGAGAGCAUGGCCGCAUGCAAAUACUACAAGGGCGGCUUCGAUCCCAAGAUGAACAAGCGGGAGGCGUCCCUAAUCUUAGGUGUCAGCCCCAGUGCGUCCAAGAUAAAGAUUAAGGACGCGCACAAGAAGAUCAUGCUGUUGAACCAUCCGGAUCGAGGAGGAUCUCCCUAUUUGGCGGCCAAGAUCAACGAGGCCAAAGACUUUCUGGACAAAGCGAAGUAGUCAUCCCUUCCCCGCCAUUCGGUGCAAAUAAAGUAGUAGUUCGUGAUUAGAAUGUUCGCGUUAGGUUCUCACGCUGGAUAGGAGAAGACCAGACUUUCGAGAGCCAGAUCAUAGUUUGCUCAGACCAUUGUUGAGUCCGCCAGAAGAACUAUAAAUAGUGGUGGCAAAGCACCAGAACGACCACGACAGAUGCGACCACCACAACGACCACCGCCUCGUCCUCGGACACCACUACCACGACUGCCUCGUCCUCGGACACCACGACCACCACGGAAGCGUCCUCUUCCAAGAAGGAGAAGCACGUGACCCACUACAAGCGCAAGGUGCACCGCCCCAAGAAGAUCAGGAAGAUCCGCCGCAACAGGAACAGGAGGAACAGGAACCGCAGCGCUUAAACUGCUAGAGAAAAUCCACAACCCCCUUCCCCGAUACCCAAGAUCCCGAUUCCCGAUUCCCAAUUAGCUUUAUAAUUUUACAUUAUUUGCAUUAUGGCAUCAAUAAAAUGAUACUUAAAAAAAUGA